RNAcentral lists this ribosomal RNA (429 nucleotides) under uncultured marine bacterium. RNAcentral's name for it is "bacterial SSU rRNA". It matches the Rfam family "Bacterial small subunit ribosomal RNA", at positions 1 to 430 of the family's 1533-position model. The record is from RNAcentral.
UAGAGUUUGAUCCUGGCUCAGGAUGAACGCUAGCGGCACGCUUCAUACAUGCAAGUCGAGGGGCAGCAUAAAUUACUUGUAAUUUGAUGGCGACCGGCGAACGGGUGCGUAACGCGUAUGCAACUUACCUUUUACUAGAGAAUAGCCAAGAGAAAUUUUGAUUAAUGCUCUAUACUCUUAUUAACUCACAUGAGUUUUUAAGAAAAGCUCCGGCGGUAAAAGAUGGGCAUGCGUCCUAUUAGCUUGUAGGUGAGGUAACGGCUCACCUAAGCUCCGAUAGGUAGGGGUCCUGAGAGGGAGAUCCCCCACACUGGUACUGAGACACGGACCAGACUUCUACGGAAGGCAGCAGUAAGGAAUAUUGGACAAUGGAGGAAACUCUGAUCCAGCGAUGCCGCGUGAAGGAAGACGGCCCUAUGGGUUGUAAAC